This 468-nucleotide ribosomal RNA is filed under the name uncultured bacterium. RNAcentral's name for it is "partial 16S ribosomal RNA". It matches the Rfam family "Bacterial small subunit ribosomal RNA", at positions 28 to 507 of the family's 1533-position model. The record is from RNAcentral.
GACGAACGCUGGCGGCGUGCUUAACACAUGCCAGUCGAACGGAAAGGCCCUGCUUUUGUGGGGUGCUCGAGUGGCGAACGGGUGAGUAACACGUGAGUAACCUGCCCUUGACUUUGGGAUAACUUCAGGAAACUGGGGCUAAUACCGGAUAGGAGCUCCUGCUGCAUGGUGGGGGUUGGAAAGUUUCGGCGGUUGGGGAUGGACUCGCGGCUUAUCAGCUUGUUGGUGGGGUAGUGGCUUACCAAGGCUUUGCCGGGUAGCCGGGCUGAGAGGGUGACCGGCCACAUUGGGACGGGGAUACGGCCCAGACUCCUACGGGAGGCAGCAGUGGGGAAUAUUGCACAAUGGGCGGAAGCCUGAUGCAGCAACGCCGCGUGCGGGAUGACGGCCUUCGGGUUGUAAACCGCUUUCGCCUGUGACGAAGCGUGAGUGACGGUAAUGGGUAAAGAAGCACCGGCUAACUACGUG